Molecule: RNA transcript, 540 nt
Organism: Carlito syrichta (Philippine tarsier)
Lineage: Eukaryota; Metazoa; Chordata; Mammalia; Primates; Tarsiidae
Exons: 3
Source: RefSeq, a predicted model, not a curated record
AGGAACCUCAACGCAGGACCCGUCUCACACCCGCUCCCAACUCAGGCCCUGUUUCUCCCUCCUUCUCUUCCCCACCCAGGAAGAGGAGAUCCCAGAGCUGGAGAUUGACGUGGAUGAGCUCUUGGACAUGGAGAGUGACGACACCCGGGCUGCCAGGGUCAAGGAACUGCUGGUUGACUGUUACAAACCCACCGAGGCCUUCAUCUCUGGCCUGCUGGACAAGAUCCGGGGCAUGCAGAAGCUGAGCGCACCCCAGAAGAAGUAAGGGUCCUGGGCCCAGGCGAACGCUGGCACCCACAGGACAAUCGCUGCCCCCUGACCUCGUAGCAACAGCAAUACCGGGACCCUGCGGCCAGGCCUGGUGCCAUGAGCAGGGUUCCUCGUGCCCCUGGACCAGGGGCCUCUUCCCCUGCCCCCUCAGUUUUCACUUUUGGGGUUUUUUAUUGUUAUUAAACUGACGGGACUUUUUGUGUUUUUGUACUGACUCUGCGGCGCGGGCCCUUUAAUUAAUUAAAGCUAGGCUCUGCCUUGGGUACAGCU